GCCCUUGUAGUUCAAUGGAUAGAACAACUCCGUCCUAAGGAGGAAAUCUGGGUUCGAUUCCUGGUGAGGGCA
RNAcentral lists this transfer RNA (72 nucleotides) under Candidatus Kaiserbacteria bacterium. Its description in RNAcentral is "tRNA-Arg". It matches the Rfam family "tRNA". From Rfam's summary of the family: Transfer RNA (tRNA) molecules are approximately 80 nucleotides in length. Their secondary structure includes four short double-helical elements and three loops (D, anti-codon, and T loops). RNAcentral also lists the same sequence under 1 other name. The record is from RNAcentral. Lineage: Bacteria; Candidatus Kaiseribacteriota.